GAUGAACGCUGGCGGCGUGCCUAAUACAUGCAAGUCGAGCGAACAGACGAGGAGCUUGCUCCUCUGACGUUAGCGGCGGACGGGUGAGUAACACGUGGAUAACCUACCUAUAAGACUGGGAUAACUUCGGGAAACCGGAGCUAAUACCGGAUAAUAUAUUGAACCGCAUGGUUCAAUAGUGAAAGACGGUUUUGCUGUCACUUAUAGAUGGAUCCGCGCCGCAUUAGCUAGUUGGGAAGGUAACGGCUUACCAAGGCAACGAUGCGUAGCCGACCUGAGAGGGUGAUCGGCCACACUGGAACUGAACCACGGUCCAGACUCCUACGGGAGGCAGCAGUAGGGAAUCUUCCGCAAUGGGCGAAAGCUUGACGGAGCAACGCCGCGUGAGUGAUGAAGGUCUUCGGAUCGUAAAACUCCGUUAUUAGGGAAGAACAAAUGUGUAAGUAACUAUGCACGUCUUGACGGUACCUAAUCAGAAAGCCACGGCUAACUACGUG
RNAcentral lists this ribosomal RNA (497 nucleotides) under uncultured bacterium. RNAcentral's name for it is "partial 16S ribosomal RNA". It matches the Rfam family "Bacterial small subunit ribosomal RNA", at positions 28 to 507 of the family's 1533-position model. The record is from RNAcentral.